Molecule: non-coding RNA, 29 nt
Filed under: Homo sapiens (human)
Lineage: Eukaryota; Metazoa; Chordata; Mammalia; Primates; Hominidae
Source: RNAcentral
UCCCUUCACCACAGGGUGUCUUUGUGCCA